GUGGCGAACGGGUGAGUAACACGUGAGUAACCUGCCCUCGACUCUGGGAUAACUCCGGGAAACCGGGGCUAAUACUGGAUAUGAGGUGUCCCUGCAUGGGGGUGCCUGGAAAGAUUUAUCGGUCGAGGAUGGACUCGCGGCCUAUCAGCUUGUUGGUGGGGUAGUGGCCUACCAAGGCGACGACGGGUAGCCGGCCUGAGAGGGCGACCGGCCACACUGGGACUGAGACACGGCCCAGACUCCUACGGGAGGCAGCAGUGGGGAAUAUUGCACAAUGGGCGAAAGCCUGAUGCAGCGACGCCGCGUGAGGGAUGAAGGCCUUCGGGUUGUAAACCUCUUUCAGCAGGGAAGAAGCGCAAGUGACGGUACCUGCAGAAGAAGCGCCGGCUAACUACGUGCCAGCAGCCGCGGUAAUACGUAGGGCGCAAGCGUUGUCCGGAAUUAUUGGGCGUAAAGAGCUCGUAGGCGGUCUGUCGCGUCUGCUGUGAAAUCCCGAGGCUCAACCUCGGGCUUGCAGUGGGUACGGGCAGACUAGAGUGCGGUAGGGGAGACUGGAAUUCCUGGUGUAGCGGUGGAAUGCGCAGAUAUCAGGAGGAACACCGAUGGCGAAGGCAGGUCUCUGGGCCGCAACUGACGCUGAG
RNAcentral lists this ribosomal RNA (641 nucleotides) under Luteimicrobium sp. I15A-00289. RNAcentral describes it as "bacterial SSU rRNA". It matches the Rfam family "Bacterial small subunit ribosomal RNA", at positions 95 to 750 of the family's 1533-position model. The record is from RNAcentral. Lineage: Bacteria; Bacillati; Actinomycetota; Actinomycetes; Micrococcales.